RNAcentral lists this ribosomal RNA (440 nucleotides) under uncultured bacterium. Its description in RNAcentral is "bacterial SSU rRNA". It matches the Rfam family "Bacterial small subunit ribosomal RNA", at positions 338 to 795 of the family's 1533-position model. The record is from RNAcentral.
CCUACGGGAGGCAGCAGUGGGGAAUAUUGCACAAUGGGCGAAAGCCUGAUGCAGCAAUGCCGCGUGAGCGAUGAAGGUCUUCGGGUCGUAAAGCUCUGUCCUAAGGGAAGAAUACUGACGGUACCUUAGGAGGAAGCCCCGGCGAACUACGUGCAAGCAGCAGCGGUAAUACGUAGGGGGCUAGCGUUAUCCGGAAUUACUGGGCGUAAGGGGUGCGUAGGCGGCUCGUAUAGUCAGUGGGGAAAGGCUACGGCUCAACCGUAGUAAGCCUUUGAAACUGUAGGGCUUGAGUGCAGGAGAGGGGAGUAGAAUUCCCAGUGUAGCGGUGAAAUGCGUAGAUAUGGGGAGGAACACCGGUGGCGAAGGCGGCUCCCUGGACUGUAACUGACGCUGAGGCACGAAAGUGUGGGGAGCGAACAGGAUUAGAUACCCCUGUAGUC